Non-coding RNA from Microbotryum lychnidis-dioicae p1A1 Lamole, 140 nucleotides. NCBI's taxonomy places the organism in Eukaryota, Fungi, Basidiomycota, Microbotryomycetes, Microbotryales, Microbotryaceae. The record is from Rfam.
UCAGUCUCUCUUCUGGACUGAGCUUAAUCGGCAUGCGUCUCUGGUAACGGGGGGGUAUGAAGCCCGAGGAUAACGUAGCCUCUUUAGCUUUUUACUCCUUUAUUUUCGAAAAUAAAGGCCAAAAGAAAAAAAAAGGGAGG